This 1437-nucleotide long non-coding RNA is filed under the name Anas platyrhynchos platyrhynchos (common mallard). RNAcentral describes it as "lncRNA (ENSAPLG00000030068.1)". The record is from RNAcentral. Lineage: Eukaryota; Metazoa; Chordata; Aves; Anseriformes; Anatidae.
UUGUGGGGCUCGUUUCACAGAAUUGUAGGGGUUGGAAGGGACCUCCAGAAAUGAUCGGGUCCAACUCCCCUGCCAAAGCAGGUUUCCUAGAGCAGGUUGCACAAGUAGGCGUCCAGACGGGGCUUGUAUAUCUGCAGAGUCCACAGCCUCCCUGGGCAGCCUGUUCCAGUGCUCUGUCACCCUCACCGUGAAGAAGUUUUUUUGCAUGCUGGAGCGGAACUUCCUGUGAUCCAUGUUGUGGCCAUUACCCUUUGUCCUGUCCCCACAGACCACUGAAAAGCGGUUGGCCAUAUCCCUGUGUCUCCCACGCCUCAGGUAUUUAUAGACAUUGAUAAGACCCCCUCUCAGUCUUCUUUUCUCCAGGCUGACCAGAGCCAGGUCUCUCAGCCUUUCCUCCUAGGGGAGAUGCUCCUGUAUCCUGUCUGUGAGCCUCCGCUGGACUCUUUCCAGGAGAUCCCAGUCUUUUUUGUACUGGGGAGCCCAGAACUGGACACAGUACUCCAGGUGAGGCCUGACCAAGGCAGAGUAGAGGGGCAGCAUCACCUCCCUUGACCUGCUGUCCAUGCUCCUUUUAAUGCACCCCAGGAUCCCGUUGGUCUUCUUGGCCACCAGGGCACACUGCUGGCUCAUGGCCAACCUGUUGUCCACCAGGCCCCGCAGGUCCUUCUCCGCAGAGCUCCUCUCCAGCAGGUCAUCCCCCAGUCUGUACUAAUACUUGCGGUUGUUCCUUCCCAGGUCCAGGACUCUACACUUGCUCUUAUUAAACCUUAUUUGGUUUCUUCCUGCCUAGCUCUCCAGCCUGUCCAGGUCUCGCUGAAUGGUAGCACAGCCUUCUGGCAUGUCAGCCACUCCUCUAUCAAAGUUCUGUAGGAUAACGAAUGCAAACCUAGACUGGCUUAAAUGGAAAAUCACAGAUGGACUCAAAGCUUUAGACCCAGAUUUACAGCAACAUGGUGUGCUGUUGAUUUCUCACAAAGAAGUCAUCAAAAACACAGCUCUAAGAAGCUUCUGCACUGAAAGAAAUGACGUGUUUGCAGCUCAGAAGCUAAGGAAGCUGCCAAAAACCAUAAGGACUUGCAGCGUGAAUGGUGGGAAAUCAAGACACUGAGCAGGAGAAAGGCCUUACAUUUGAUACCUAAAUACAACACAGUUAGAAAUCUCUAUGAGGAGAAAAAGGGAAAGAGAAAUAAUUAAGCUUCUUUGUACUGUUUGUUUCUCAAAUGGCAACUCCUUUACCCUCCCCCCCUACACUUCUGUUCAUGCAGAAAUGUAAGUUAUUCAAUUUCCUUUGAGCCCAAAGGAUUUUUUUCAGAUGGAUUAUCUCAUAUCGUGGAAUGACACUUAAUAAUACAUCAUGAUACAAUGAGUUGUGCACCAAAUUUCUUUAAGUAUAAAAUAGCACCAGGUGAUGUGGCAAAGGUUUCGAUGUAACUUCUC